This 252-nucleotide ribosomal RNA is filed under the name uncultured bacterium. RNAcentral's name for it is "partial 16S ribosomal RNA". It matches the Rfam family "Bacterial small subunit ribosomal RNA", at positions 524 to 776 of the family's 1533-position model. The record is from RNAcentral.
UACGAAGGGGGCUAGCGUUGCUCGGAAUGACUGGGCGUAAAGGGCGCGUAGGCGGAUUAUACAGUCAGAUGUGAAAUUCCUGGGCUCAACCUGGGGGCUGCAUUUGAUACGUGUGAUCUAGAGUCCGGAAGAGGGUGGUGGAAUUCCCAGUGUAGAGGUGAAAUUCGUAGAUAUUGGGAAGAACACCGGUGGCGAAGGCGGCCACCUGGUCCGGUACUGACGCUGAGGCGCGAAAGCGUGGGAGCAAACAGG